Molecule: ribosomal RNA, 691 nt
Filed under: Mucor plumbeus
Lineage: Eukaryota; Fungi; Mucoromycota; Mucoromycetes; Mucorales; Mucoraceae
Description: partial large subunit ribosomal RNA
Rfam family: Eukaryotic large subunit ribosomal RNA
Source: RNAcentral
GCGGAGGAAAAGAAAAUAACAAUGAUUUCCCUAGUAACGGCGAGUGAAGAGGAAAGAGCUCAAAGUUGGAACCUGUUUGGCUUAGCUAAACCGGAUUGUAAACUGUAGAAACAUUUUCCAGAUACACUAGACAAAAAAGUCCUUUGGAACAGGGCAUCAUAGAGGGUGAGAAUCCCGUCUUUGGUCUAAGUAGUUGUCUAUUGUGAUAUGUUUUCAAAGAGUCAGGUUGUUUGGGAAUGCAGCCUAAAUUGGGUGGUAAAUCUCACCUAAAGCUAAAUAUUUGCGAGAGACCGAUAGCGAACAAGUACCGUGAGGGAAAGAUGAAAAGAACUUUGAAAAGAGAGUUAAACAGUAUGUGAAAUUGUUAAAAGGGAACCGUUUGGAGCCAGACUGGCUUGAUUGUAAUCAACCUAGAAUUCGUUUUGGGUGCACUUGCAGUCUAUGCCUGCCAACGACAGUUUGAUUUGGAGGAAAAAAUUAAUAGGAAUGUGGCCUCUCGAGGUGUUAUAGCCUAUUAUCAUACUCUGGAUUGGACUGAGGAACGCAGUGAAUGCCUUUAGGCAAGAUUGCUGGGCGCUUUCGCUAAUAAAUGUUAGAAUUUCUGCUUCGGGUGGUGCUAAUGUUUAAAGGAGGAACUCGUUUAGUAUAUUUUUUAUUCGCUUAGGUUGUUGGCUUAAUGACUCUAAAUGAC